Molecule: ribosomal RNA, 399 nt
Filed under: uncultured bacterium
Lineage: Bacteria
Description: bacterial SSU rRNA
Rfam family: Bacterial small subunit ribosomal RNA
Source: RNAcentral
GAACGCUCGUAGCAAUACGGGAGUGGCAGACGGGUGAGUAACGCGUGGGAACAUACCCUCCGGUUCGGAAUAGCUCAGGGAAACUUGGAUUAAUACCGGAUACGGCCGAGAGGCGAAAGAUUUAUCGCUGAAGGAUCGGCCCGCGUCUGAUUAGCUUGUUGGUGAGGUAACGGCUCACCAAGGCGACGAUCAGUAGCUGGUCUGAGAGGAUGAUCAGCCACACUGGGACUGAGACACGGCCCAGACUCCUACGGGAGGCAGCAGUAGGGAAUCUUGCGCAAUGGGCGAAAGCCUGACGCAGCCAUGCCGCGUGAAUGAUGAAGGUCUUAGGAUUGUAAAAUUCUUUCAGCGGGGAAGAUAACGACGGUACCCGCAGAAGAAGCCCCGGCUAACUUCGUG